GAUGAAGAACGUAGCGAAAUGCGAUAAGUAAUGUGAAUUGCAGAAUUCAGUGAAUCAUCGAAUCUUUGAACGCACAUUGCGCCCGCCAGUAUUCUGGCGGGCAUGCCUGUUCGAGCGUCAUUUCAACCAUCAAGCCCCCGGCUUGUGUUGGGGACCUGCGGCUGCCGCAGGCCCUGAAAACCAGUGGCGGGCUCGCUAGUCACUCCGAGCGUAGUAAUACAUCUCGCUCAGGGCGUGCUGCGGGUUCCGGCCGUUAAAAAGCCUUAUUUACCCAAAGUUGACCUCGGAUCAGGUAGGAAGACCCGCUGAACUUAAGCAUAUCAAUAAGCGGAGGA
This 335-nucleotide unclassified non-coding RNA is filed under the name soil metagenome. RNAcentral describes it as "partial contains 5.8S ribosomal RNA, internal transcribed spacer 2, and large subunit ribosomal RNA". The stretch from base 1 to 120 matches the Rfam family "5.8S ribosomal RNA", at positions 35 to 154 of the family's 154-position model. The record is from RNAcentral.